This 696-nucleotide ribosomal RNA is filed under the name uncultured bacterium. RNAcentral's name for it is "bacterial SSU rRNA". It matches the Rfam family "Bacterial small subunit ribosomal RNA", at positions 111 to 823 of the family's 1533-position model. The record is from RNAcentral.
UAACGCGUGAGUAACCUGCCUUUCAGAGGGGGAUAACGUUCUGAAAAGAACGCUAAUACCGCAUAAGAUUGUAGCUUCGCAUGGAGCAGCAAUCAAAGGAGCAAUCCGCUGAAAGAUGGACUCGCGUCCGAUUAGAUAGUUGGCGGGGUAACGGCCCACCAAGUCGACGAUCGGUAGCCGGACUGAGAGGUUGAUCGGCCACAUUGGGACUGAGACACGGCCCAGACUCCUACGGGAGGCAGCAGUGAGGGAUAUUGGGCAAUGGGGGAAACCCUGACCCAGCAACGCCGCGUGAGGGAUGACGGUUUUCGGAUUGUAAACCUCCGUCCUCUGUGAAGAUAGUGACGGUAGCAGAGGAGGAAGCUCCGGCUAACUACGUGCCAGCAGCCGCGGUAAUACGUAGGGAGCAAGCGUUGUCCGGAUUUACUGGGUGUAAAGGGUGCGUAGGCGGAUUGGCAAGUCAGAAGUGAAAUCCAUGGGCUUAACCCAUGAACUGCUUUUGAAACUGUUAGUCUUGAGUGAAGUAGAGGUAGGCGGAAUUCCCGGUGUAGCGGUGAAAUGCGUAGAGAUCGGGAGGAACACCAGUGGCGAAGGCGGCCUACUGGGCUUUAACUGACGCUGAGGCACGAAAGUGUGGGUAGCAAACAGGAUUAGAUACCCUGGUAGUCCACACUGUAAACGAUGAUUACUAGGUGU